UACGUAGGUGACCAGCGUUGUCCGGAUUUACUGGGCGUAAAGAGCGCGCAGGCGGUCGUCCAAGUCGAGUGUGAAAGCCCCCGGCUCAACUGGGGAGGGUCAUUCGAAACUGAUCGACUGGAAGGCAGGAGAGGGAAGCGGAAUUCCCGGUGUAGUGGUGAAAUGCGUAGAUAUCAGGAGGAACACCAGUGGCGAAGGCGGCUUCCUGGCCUGUUCUUGACGCUGAGGCGCGAAAGCUAGGGGAGCAAACGGG
RNAcentral lists this ribosomal RNA (253 nucleotides) under uncultured bacterium. Its description in RNAcentral is "partial 16S ribosomal RNA". It matches the Rfam family "Bacterial small subunit ribosomal RNA", at positions 524 to 776 of the family's 1533-position model. The record is from RNAcentral.